UACGGGGGGAGCAAGCGUUGUUCGGAUUUACUGGGCGUAAAGGGCGCGUAGGCGGCGCGACAAGUCAGCUGUGAAAUCUCCGGGCUUAACCCGGAGCGGCCAGCUGAUACUGUCGUGCUGGAGUGCGGAAGGGGCUACUGGAAUUCUCGGUGUAGCGGUGAAAUGCGUAGAUAUCGAGAGGAACACCUGUGGCGAAGGCGGGUAGCUGGGCCGACACUGACGCUGAGGCGCGAAAGCUAGGGGAGCGAACGGG
This 253-nucleotide ribosomal RNA is filed under the name uncultured bacterium. Its description in RNAcentral is "partial 16S ribosomal RNA". It matches the Rfam family "Bacterial small subunit ribosomal RNA", at positions 524 to 776 of the family's 1533-position model. The record is from RNAcentral.